GGGUGCGAUCAUACCAACCCUAAUGCACCGGAUCCCAUCAGAACUUUGAAGUUAAGUGUGUUUGGGCGAGAGUAGUACUAGGAUGGGUGACCUCUUGAGAAGUCCUCGUGUUGCACCCC
RNAcentral lists this ribosomal RNA (119 nucleotides) under Nelumbo nucifera (sacred lotus). Lineage: Eukaryota; Viridiplantae; Streptophyta; Magnoliopsida; Proteales; Nelumbonaceae. The record is from RNAcentral.